AACUCGGCUUGCCCCAGUAGCGGCGAGUGCAGCGGCAGAGCUCAGAUUUGAAAUCGUGUUUCGGCACGAGUCUGUAGAGUGUAGGCGGGAGUCUCUGUGGAGCGCGGUGUCCAAGUCCCUCUGGAACAGGGUGCCUGAGAGGGUGAGAGCCCCGUAGGGUGCUGCGCGAAGCUUUUGAGGCCCUGCUGACGAGUCGAGUUGUUUGGGAAUGCAGCUCCAAGCGGGUGGUAAAUUCCAUCUAAGGCUAAAUAUUGGCGAGAGACCGAUAGCGAACAAGUACUGUGAAGGAAAGAUGAAAAGCACUUUGAAAAGAGAGUGAAACAGCACGUGAAAUUGUUGAAAGGGAAGGGUAUUGGGCUCGACAUGGGGGGUGCGCACCGCUGUCUCUUGUAGGCGGCGCUCUGGGCGCCCUCUGGGCCACCAUCGGUUCCUGCUGCGGGAGAAGGGGCUCCGGAAAGUGGCUCUUCGGAGUGUUAUAGCCGGGGCCAGAUGCCGCGUGUGGGGACCGAGGACUGCGGCUUCUGUCUCGGAUGCUGGCAUAACGGCGCAAUACCGCCCGUCUUGAAACAACGGACCAAAA
Molecule: ribosomal RNA, 580 nt
Filed under: Pichia membranifaciens
Lineage: Eukaryota; Fungi; Ascomycota; Pichiomycetes; Pichiales; Pichiaceae
Description: eukaryotic LSU rRNA
Rfam family: Eukaryotic large subunit ribosomal RNA
Source: RNAcentral